GGGGGGCACAGUAGGGAAUCUUCCACAAUGGACGCAAGUCUGAUGGAGCAACGCCGCGUGAGUGAAGAAGGUUUUCGGAUCGUAAAGCUCUGUUGUUGGUGAAGAAGGAUAGAGGCAGUAACUGGUCUUUAUUUGACGGUAAUCAACCAGAAAGUCACGGCUAACUACGUGCCAGCAGCCGCGGUAAUACGUAGGUGGCAAGCGUUGUCCGGAUUUAUUGGGCGUAAAGCGAGCGCAGGCGGAAUGAUAAGUCUGAUGUGAAAGCCCACGGCUCAACCGUGGAACUGCAUCGGAAACUGUCAUUCUUGAGUGCAGAAGAGGAGAGUGGAAUUCCAUGUGUAGCGGUGGAAUGCGUAGAUAUAUGGAAGAACACCAGUGGCGAAGGCGGCUCUCUGGUCUGCAACUGACGCUGAGGCUCGAAAGCAUGGGUAGCGAACAGGAUUAGAUACCCUGGUAGUCCAUGCCGUAAACGAUGAGCGCUAGGUGUUGGGGACUUUCCGGUUCUCCAGUGCC
Molecule: ribosomal RNA, 513 nt
Filed under: Lactobacillus delbrueckii subsp. bulgaricus
Lineage: Bacteria; Bacillati; Bacillota; Bacilli; Lactobacillales; Lactobacillaceae
Description: bacterial SSU rRNA
Rfam family: Bacterial small subunit ribosomal RNA
Source: RNAcentral